UUGGAGGGCAAGUCUGGUGCCAGCAGCCGCGGUAAUUCCGGCUCCAAUAGCGUAUAUUAAAGUUGUUGCAGUUAAAAAGCUCGUAGUUGAAUUUCGGGAUCAGAUUGUCGGUCGUGCCUCGGUACGCACUGGCGUUAUUGGUUCCUACCUUCUGAAGAACCGCGAUGUCAUUAAUUUGGUGUCGUGGGGAGUCAGGACUGUUACUUUGAAAAAAUUAGAGUGUUUAAAGCAGGC
RNAcentral lists this ribosomal RNA (234 nucleotides) under uncultured Glomus. RNAcentral's name for it is "partial 18S rRNA". It matches the Rfam family "Eukaryotic small subunit ribosomal RNA", at positions 548 to 785 of the family's 1831-position model. Lineage: Eukaryota; Fungi; Glomeromycota; Glomeromycetes; Glomerales; Glomeraceae. The record is from RNAcentral.